UACGUAGGGGGCAAGCGUUGUUCGGAUUUACUGGGCGUAAAGGGCGCGUAGGCGGCAAUUCAAGUCAGCUGUGAAAUCUCCGGGCUUAACUCGGAACGGUCAGCUGAUACUGCUUUGCUAGAGUGCAGAAAGGGCAAUCGGAAUUCUUGGUGUAGCGGUGAAAUGCGUAGAUAUCAAGAGGAACACCUGAGGCGAAGGCGGGUUGCUAGGCUGACACUGACGCUGAGUGCGCGAAAGCGUGGGGAUCAAACAGG
RNAcentral lists this ribosomal RNA (254 nucleotides) under uncultured bacterium. RNAcentral describes it as "partial 16S ribosomal RNA". It matches the Rfam family "Bacterial small subunit ribosomal RNA", at positions 524 to 776 of the family's 1533-position model. The record is from RNAcentral.